GAUGAACGCUGGCGGCGUGCCUAAUACAUGCAAGUCGAGCGAACGGACGAGAAGCUUGCUUCUCUGAUGUUAGCGGCGGACGGGUGAGUAACACGUGGAUAACCUACCUAUAAGACUGGGAUAACUUCGGGAAACCGGAGCUAAUCCCGGAUGAUAUUUUGAACCGCAUGGUUCAAAAGUGAAAGACGGUCUUGCUGUCACUUAUAGAUGGAUCCGCGCUGCAUUAGCUAGUUGGUAAGGUAACGGCUUACCAAGGCAACGAUGCAUAGCCGACCUGAGAGGGGGAUCGGCCACACUGGAACUGAGACACGGUCCAGACUCCUACGGGAGGCAGCAGUAGGGAAUCGUCCGCAAUGGGCGAAAGCCUGACGGAGCAACGCCGCGUGAGUGAUGAAGGUCUUCGGAUCGUAAAACUCUGUUAUUAGGGAAGAACAUAUGUGUAAGUAACUGUGCACAUCUUGACGGUACCUAAUCAGAAAGCCACGGCUAACUACGUG
Molecule: ribosomal RNA, 497 nt
Filed under: uncultured bacterium
Lineage: Bacteria
Description: partial 16S ribosomal RNA
Rfam family: Bacterial small subunit ribosomal RNA
Source: RNAcentral